GCUUGUACCUACGUUCAGCAGUUCCCAAGCUCCUGUACCACGCCCAAGAAGAAUGAAGAUAUGCUGGACAUUGAACGGAUGCUGCAUGGAACAUCUCCAGCCCCAACCUGGAGGAGGACAAGAGGAGAGGCUGUCAAAGCGAAGACAAUUCUGCCUGUUGGCAGACGCCCUGGCCCCAGUUUGUAUCUUGCCUCUUCAGUCAUCACUGCUAGGAUGUUUGGCCAUGAGAAUAGGAAACGUCAGUGAGUCCCGCUACGAAGCCACUUGAGAAUCAUGAACCCAUGGCCAGGAAAGGAUAAAUUGUGGGGCUUAAGCUAGAAUUCCAACAAGCUCCAGGAAGGUCUGUCCCAAGGCUCCUGUUCUAGCAUCAGUAGUUGGCUCUGCUUUCAGGGGAAAAUGCUGUGGAUGACACUCUUCCUUGUGGCUUUGGGGCAUGAAGUGCCUGUCGGCUCCUCCAGGUCCUGGGAAGGAUUCCCCCACCACCCCUUAGGGGAUCCUCCUGCCUGACACUGAUCUUGAAACCCGACUUAUCUAAGACCUUAUUCUUGCAUGAAGUUGCCUGAUAUAAACUCUUCUUACUUCCCCCACCCCCACAUUCUUAGACUUAUUUCAAAGUUGUAAUCAUUACUUAUUUUAGAAUAAAAGUUAGUGCAGCUAAGA
Molecule: long non-coding RNA, 660 nt
Filed under: Homo sapiens (human)
Lineage: Eukaryota; Metazoa; Chordata; Mammalia; Primates; Hominidae
Description: HSALNT0161358
Source: RNAcentral